RNAcentral lists this unclassified non-coding RNA (619 nucleotides) under Hevea brasiliensis (rubber tree). The record is from RNAcentral. Lineage: Eukaryota; Viridiplantae; Streptophyta; Magnoliopsida; Malpighiales; Euphorbiaceae.
CGGUAUUCAAUUCUAAUAUGAGGAUGGAUGGAGUAGAUUGAAAUUUGAUAUUUUAUUCACACUAACACUACAUAAUGUCAAAUUUGCAAUCCUCUUCAUGACUACAGAAGGGAAAAAUGGCAAAUGAAAAAGACAAUGAAGUUCUCAAACAGAUACAAAUGUGGGGCAAACAAUUUCUAAAGGACAAUGUGGAUAACAAUCAGACAGAAACCUUCUCUUCUUUGUCAAUUUACUCAACAGCCAAUGGGACAAGUUCAGCCAGCUUGCGGAAUUUGAGAGCGUAAAACAUCUCAAGAUAACGACGAAUUUCAAGACGAUCAAGCUUGGAAACGUGCUUCCAGAACCCGUAAACAGCAGCUAGUGUCAACAGCCGGUCGGAGUAGAUUUGCCAUGUGUACUUCUCCUGUAUACGCUUAAGGCCACCCUUGGAAAUGGCUUCCCAAUGUGAAGGGUCUACCUUACAUUUCUCGAAGAACUCAGCGAGGAGAUCAGCAGCCUGCUCGCCAUGGUAUGGAUCAAUUUGGAAACCAGACUUUCCAUGAACGAUGAUCUCAGCUGGACCACCUUGAUUAGUUGCAAAUGUAGGCAAACCGCAGCUCAUGGCCUCAACAACAGUCAG